UAUAUCACAUUCAUGAGCUUUCAUUUUAUAAAUCUAGAUAUGCAUAAUUACAUAGACAAACAUCAAUAUCAUCAUAAUCACUCCCGGCUCAUGUACAUCCCCCCACAUCGUGCACAUAGCUGGCACCAUCAUGUGCAUCCCCCACAUCGUGCACAAUCAGUGCCAUCGUGUACAUCCCCCCACAUCGUGCACACGGGCACUAUCAUCAUCUAUCUCUCACGCCACCAUCAUCACCGGUAUGUGCAUUCCCCACAGCAUGCACACACACGGUUACAGUCAUUAUACACAAUAUCAUUCAUCAUGCACAACACACAUAUAUAUAUCAUCAUAAUACAAUAGUCCAUGAAUCCAUAGCAAUCACAUAUUACAAUAUAAAACCAUUUUUUAAAAGCUUGUUCCCAAGGCAUUUGUUUUCAUGAAAAGCUUGGUAAUUCAUUCAAAUGGGUGGCAAUUUCAUUAUAUUACCCAAAACAAGUUUUGAAGGCAGUCCACUCACAGGUGUCGAAAAUUCGAAUUUCGAGUGCACUCGGACUAAUAGUCUUCAAGCGCAAUUCCUUUGCCUUUUCCGGACGUCUCACUACCUUGACAAAUAACAAAGUCGAGAAAUUUACCAUAUUGUCCCUAAAUUGAUAUAAACUAAUUUAAAUUAGUAAUGCUUGAUAUGUAAAUGCAAAAAUACGUCCGAUUAUCACUUAAUCGCGAUAUCGAUUAAAUUCGACCGAUCACCCGAUUAAUUGGCGAUUGUGUCCAACUCACUUCCAAAUUAAUUCAUUUCUCCUCUAAUACCUUAAUUUACCACAUACCAUUUAAAUAAAGCCAAAUUCAGCAUUAGAACCCUCACAGUUCCUUAUAGAAAAAUUCGGUCAUUUGGUGCACUAGCACCGAAAUUUUUUUCUACAUAAUAGUUUCACCUUAAUUCAUCAUUUUCCAAGCCAUUUUCCUUGAAAUAAAAACAAUCCCCCAAUGAUAUUCAGCCCUCAUGGUUCGACCAACAAGGAACCCUAGAGAAAUUGAAUAUUUCUUUUGUGUUUUUGUUCAUAACCAUGCUUCACUAUCCCUAAACACUAACAUAGUCUAAAAUCAAAUUAUUUCAACAGUAAUUCCUCUUCCAUACCCAUUUUUCAGAAUUGAAUUCAUCAUGAUAACUCAAUAUUCAACCAUGGAAAUCAAAAAUAAAAGAAUGGGUAAGCUAGGUAUCAAGGAGAAUUAAAGAAAUUUUAACUUACUUAGCUUGUUUCCUUGAUUUCUUCAUUUUUUCUUUGAAUUUCCACCUAGGUUUUCUUGUUUUUCCCUUUGUUCUUCCUUUGUUCUUGUUGUUGGUUGCC
Molecule: long non-coding RNA, 1325 nt
Filed under: Theobroma cacao (cacao)
Lineage: Eukaryota; Viridiplantae; Streptophyta; Magnoliopsida; Malvales; Malvaceae
Description: long non-coding RNA (TCAC_LNC005561)
Source: RNAcentral